RNAcentral lists this ribosomal RNA (487 nucleotides) under uncultured bacterium. RNAcentral describes it as "bacterial SSU rRNA". It matches the Rfam family "Bacterial small subunit ribosomal RNA", at positions 501 to 987 of the family's 1533-position model. The record is from RNAcentral.
CUACGUGCCAGCAGCCGCGGUAAUACGUAGGUGGCAAGCGUUGUCCGGAAUUAUUGGGCGUAAAGCGCGCGCAGGCGGAUUGGUCAGUCUGUCUUAAAAGUUCGGGGCUUAACCCCGUGAUGGGAUGGAAACUGCCAAUCUAGAGUAUCGGAGAGGAAAGUGGAAUUCCUAGUGUAGCGGUGAAAUGCGUAGAUAUUAGGAAGAACACUAGUGGCGAAGGCGACUUUCUGGACGAAAACUGACGCUGAGGCGCGAAAGCCAGGGGAGCGAACGGGAUUAGAUACCCCGGUAGUCCUGGCCGUAAACGAUGGGUACUAGGUGUAGGAGGUAUCGACCCCUUCUGUGCCGGAGUUAACGCAAUAAGUACCCCGCCUGGGGAGUACGACCGCAAGGUUGAAACUCAAAGGAAUUGACGGGGGCCCGCACAAGCGGUGGAGUAUGUGGUUUAAUUCGACGCAACGCGAAGAACCUUACCAGGUCUUGACAU